RNAcentral lists this ribosomal RNA (528 nucleotides) under uncultured bacterium. RNAcentral's name for it is "bacterial SSU rRNA". It matches the Rfam family "Bacterial small subunit ribosomal RNA", at positions 980 to 1509 of the family's 1533-position model. The record is from RNAcentral.
CUUGACAUCCAGAGAACUUGGCAGAGAUGCCUUGGUGCCUUCGGGAACUCUGAGACAGGUGCUGCAUGGCUGUCGUCAGCUCGUGUUGUGAAAUGUUGGGUUAAGUCCGCAACGAGCGCAACCCCUAUCCUUUGUUGCCAGCGAUUCGGUCGGGAACUCAAAGGAGACUGCCGGUGAUAAACCGGAGGAAGGUGGGGAUGACGUCAAGUCAUCAUGGCCCUUACGAGUAGGGCUACACACGUGCUACAAUGGCGUAUACAAAGAGAAGCGACCUCGCGAGAGCAAGCGGACCUCAUAAAGUGCGUCGUAGUCCGGAUUGGAGUCUGCAACUCGACUCCAUGAAGUCGGAAUCGCUAGUAAUCGUAGAUCAGAAUGCUACGGUGAAUACGUUCCCGGGCCUUGUACACACCGCCCGUCACACCAUGGGAGUGGGUUGCAAAAGAAGUAGAUAGCUUAACCUUCGGGAGGGCGUUUACCACUUUGUGAUUCAUGACUGGGGUGAAGUCGUAACAAGGUAAGCGUACGUGU